GGCUGCAACUCGCCUACAUGAAGUCGGAAUUGCUAGUAAUCGCGGAUCAGCAUGCCGCGGUGAAUACGUUCCCGGGCCUUGUACACACCGCCCGUCACACCAUGGGAGUCGGUAACACCCGAAGCCUGUAGUCUAACCGCAAGGGGGACGCAGUCGAAGGUGGGAUUGAUGACUGGGGUGAAGUCGUAACAAGGUAGC
RNAcentral lists this ribosomal RNA (198 nucleotides) under uncultured bacterium. Its description in RNAcentral is "partial 16S ribosomal RNA". It matches the Rfam family "Bacterial small subunit ribosomal RNA", at positions 1303 to 1500 of the family's 1533-position model. The record is from RNAcentral.